Molecule: ribosomal RNA, 443 nt
Filed under: uncultured bacterium
Lineage: Bacteria
Description: partial 16S ribosomal RNA
Rfam family: Bacterial small subunit ribosomal RNA
Source: RNAcentral
CCUACGGGGGGCAGCAGUGGGGAAUAUUGGGCAAUGGGCGCAAGCCUGACCCAGCAACGCCGCGUGAAGGAAGAAGGCCCUCGGGUUGUAAACCUCUUUUCUGAGGGACGAAGAAAGUGACGGUACCUCAGGAAUAAGCCACGGCUAACUACGUGCCAGCAGCCGCUGUAAUACGUAGGUGGCAAGCGUUAUCCGGAUUCAUUGGGUGUAAAGGGCGUGUAGGCGGGAAAGCAAGUCAGAUGUGAAAGCUCAGGGCUCAACCCUGAGCCUGCAUUUGAAACUGUUUUUCUUGAGUGCAGGAGAGGAAAGCGGAAUUCCGUGUGUAGCGGUGAAAUGCGUAGAUAUACGGAGGAACAGCAGUGGCGAAGGCAGAUUGCUGGACAGUAACUGACGUUGAGGCGCGAAAGCGUGGGGAGCAAACAGGAUUAGAUACCCUAGUAGUC